GUUAUGUUUAGGGCUAGGUUUAGAUUUAGGUUAUGUUUAGGGUUAGGUUUUAGGUUUAGGUUAUGUUUAGGGCUAGGUUUAGAUUUAGGUUAUGUUUAGGGUUAGGUUUUAGGUUUAGGUUAUGUUUAGGGCUAGGUUUAGAUUUAGGUUAUGUUUAGGGUUAGGUUUUAGGUUUAGGUUAUGUUUAGGGCUAGGUUUAGAUUUAGGUUAUGUUUAGGGUUAGGUUUUAGGUUUAGGUUAUGUUUUAGGGCUAGGGUUAGAUUCAGGUUAUGUUUAGGGUUAGGUUUUAGGUUUAGGUUAUGUUUUAGGGCUAGGGUUAGAUUUAGGUUAUGUUUAGGGUUAGGUUUUAGGUUUAGGUUAUGUUUUAGGGCUAGGGUUAGAUUCAGGUUAUGUUUAGGGUUAGGUUUUAGGUUUAGGUUAUGUUUUAGGGCUAGGGUUAGAUUCAGGUUAUGUUUAGGGUUAGG
Molecule: long non-coding RNA, 464 nt
Organism: Astyanax mexicanus (Mexican tetra)
Lineage: Eukaryota; Metazoa; Chordata; Actinopteri; Characiformes; Acestrorhamphidae
Exons: 3
Source: RefSeq, a predicted model, not a curated record